This 1917-nucleotide ribosomal RNA is filed under the name Triticum aestivum (bread wheat). RNAcentral describes it as "partial small subunit ribosomal RNA". Lineage: Eukaryota; Viridiplantae; Streptophyta; Magnoliopsida; Poales; Poaceae. The record is from RNAcentral.
CAACUUGACUUGGCCACGGUUUGAAGUGGUUUGGGUUGCUGCUGGUUAGGUGAGGUGCAGAGGUAGAGGUGUGUGUGGUGACGGGCGGGCGGGCGCGUGCGCCCGGUAAAGUAGAGGGGGCGGGGCGGCUACGCGCGGCGGCUAGGGCGCGUCGUCGGCGGCGGCGGCGGCUAGCUAGGCGCGAGGCGCCACCGGAUCGGUACAGGGGGGUGUGCAGCACCUCGGGGGGCGAGGGCCCGCAGCAGUGCGAGUUGACGUGCCUGUCGCGCAUGCUCACGGAGGGCGAGACGGGGCCGCGGCUGACGGGGCUGAUGCGGCGCGGGGGCGGCGGCGGCGAGGGCGAGCGGGGCCAGCGGCAGCUGGCGGCGGACGGGCAUGCGGAGGAGGAGUGGCAGAGGGAGGAGAGGCGGAAGGAGAAGGAGAGCGAGCCCGAGCGGUGCGAGGAGGAGAUGGCGGCGGCGGCGCGGGACGCGGCGGCGGCGGCCCGACGGUGGCGGGUCGACGGAGUUUCGCUCCCCAAGCCGCUGCCGCCCCUGCUCCUCCCUCCGCCUCCGCCUCCUCCCCACCACGUGGUGCAGACCAUGUAGGCGUGCCACCCCGAGCUGCUCCGGUGGUAGCGCAGGUAUCGGUGGUUCCUCAUGGCGCCGCACCCCCGGCCGCCCCUGACGCGCCAAACGGAGCCGCUCAAGUCGCUGCCGCUCGAGCAGGCGGAGGAGGGCGCGACGAGCGUGGGCAAGGUGCGCGGGACGUAGCUGUGGACCGAGGCGCGGGUGCAGUCGACGGGCUAAACGGCAAGGCAGCAGCAGCACGGUAGGUCGGAGGGCCGACGCCGCUGACUACGGCUCCGUCUCCCGCCGCUUCACCUUCUCGUGGUCCACAAACUGCUUUACAGGGGCAGCCUUGGUGACGGGCUCCCAAGGCUCCUAAGGCUACGGAGCAGCCUGUGAGUUUCACUCCUGUGGCUUCAACAUCGUCUCCUCUUACCUUCACACUGCGGGUUCGGUUAUGCCGCGAGACGGAGGUACCUGAGCGGCGACAAGGAACACCAACACGGACUUCCAGUCCCACCACGAGACGGCCGAUUAGCGUUUAACGGCUGACCAGCUGUCUACUCGUAGAAGUUCCGCUUCCUCUUCCUCCGUCGUCCCUGUAGAAGUAGGAGAACAGUUCGUCCGCCCAAGUCCUAACCGUCCAGGUACAGUUCGUCACCAGCCCCUAACAAGAAGAGUGCCUUACCCGCGAGGUGACCGUUGCACGACGGUGAAACUCAACCACAUUACAAUGACAGUUCUCCUAUGUCGGAGUCGUUUCGGCCCUCGACCAUCACAUAGUCACAGACAACUAUCCUUCACAUAUGGCCUAUGGACGUCACCGAGCCUCUCUUUCAGAGUAAGAGUAGACUUUAGACACUCAACUGGUCUCAUUAAUAACACACUAUUCAUAAAGAGCUCACCUACACGAGCACAAUUGAACGUACGGAUUCAAAGGAAAUAGUGUUACAGGUGAAGUUCGAGACGAGUUCACUUAAAACCCCUUCUUCGACUUCCAACCGAAGAAGUACAUUAUAAAUACAUAUCGUUAGAACGUUUCUCACCUGGUCACGGACGAAGUUAUAAAUAACAAAGGUCUUCCCCCACCACGUUUAUAUUCUUAAGCAGGAAACCCCUCCUCCCCGACGGGAGUAAGACAUAUACAUUGUCACCUAUAGUAACUCGUGUAUGGUUUAUUCUGGAACGUGAUCAUUGACUUACAGAAUUCUUUAUUGAUGAAACGUAGUAACAAUAAACCCACAGAUCACUUGAUUACAUAUGGUCGAAAGACACGCUCAAGAAGUACAACCGUCCUAUACGCACUUGAACUUUUGUGUUCCGACAACAAACGAGGACACCAGUUCCUCCCUUCCACGUGGUCUAACUC